UAACGAAACGAGACCUUAAACCCUGCUAAAUAAGGCCAGGCUAGCUUUGGCUGGUCGCCGGCUUCUUAGAGGGACUAUCGGCUCAAGCCGAUGGAAGUUUGAGGCAAUAACAGGUCUGUGAUGCCCUUAGAUGUUCUGGGCCGCACGCGCGCUACACUGACAGAGCCAACGAGUUUCUUCCUUGUCCGAAAGGUCUGGGUAAUCUUGUUAAACUCUGUCGUGCUGGGGAUAGGGCAUUGCAAUG
Molecule: ribosomal RNA, 244 nt
Filed under: uncultured fungus
Lineage: Eukaryota; Fungi
Description: partial small subunit ribosomal RNA
Rfam family: Eukaryotic small subunit ribosomal RNA
Source: RNAcentral